Acanthosepion pharaonis is the source of this 114-nucleotide non-coding RNA. The record is from the annotation of a GenBank genome assembly. NCBI's taxonomy places the organism in Eukaryota, Metazoa, Mollusca, Cephalopoda, Sepiida, Sepiidae.
UUACGGCCACUUCAUGUUGAAAAACCAGUUCCCGUAUGAUCACCGAAGUUAAACAACAUCGAGUCUGGUCAGUACCAAGAUGGGUGACGGCUUGAGAAUAUCAGGUGCUGUAAG